UGCUGAAGCUAAAGCUCCAAUACUUUGGCCACCUGAUGUGAAGAACUGACUCAUUGGAAAAGACUCUGAUGCUGGGAAAGAUUGAAGGCAGGAGGAGAAAAGGUGACAGGGGAUGAGAUGGUUGGAGGGCCUCAUCAACUUAGUGGACAUGAGUUUGAACAAGCUCCGAGAGAUGGUGAAGGACAGGGAAGCCUGUCAUGCUGCAGUUCAUCGGGUCACAAAGAGUAGGACACGACUGAACACACUCACAUACCUAUUUAGUGGGUUCAUGGCUCCUCCCAAAGGCCUGCUGGGUGGUCCCAUGAAAGAUGAUGUUUGGAUGUUAGGCUUUGUUUUGCUUUGGGGGGGACAACAUUUGUCCCUGGGCUGCUGGGGAAUGAGGGAAGAAAUGCUGGUUGGGUUGUCUUGCAUGUGUGUGUGUGUGUGUGUCUGUGUGUGAGUGUGUGUGCCUUCCCUGGGGACCCAUCUGGAAAGCUGCUGGGAGAUGAACAGCCCAGGAGAAGGGAUGCCACCCUCAGGCACGCACACAUGCACGCGCGCACACGCAGACACACGGAUACACGCUGCAGGCAUGCAUGUUCCUAGAGCAGGGGUCACAGGGCUGCUGGCCUCCGAGACUGAGUUUCCCAACCCACAUGACGUGCAGACAUACAGCCGGGAGGGCCAGGGAGACCGGCAAGAAAAACAAACACGCUGGGGUCACUUCCAGCAGCUAGCUCCGUCCGAGCCUGCACGUGGGGUGCUGGAACUCGGCACGGGGUGGGGUCCAGCCCUUCCUGCAGGGCCAGCAUGGCUCCCAGACACGUGCAGAGCCCCCUGGAGGAUGGGGUCACCGGCACAGGUGGGGCAGGGCCUGGAAGCAGCCUCAGGCGAGAGCGCUGGUGAGGACCACCCGGUCCAGUGAAGAGGACCCUUGGUUCUGGUAUUCCAGGAUCCAGAGACCUGGACGCAGAAGCCCCUGUUUGCUGUGCCUACAGACCCCUGGGUGCUGCUGAGCCAGGCAAGUCCUUCUCUGUGGGGGGUGGUCCUGGGUUAGGGUGCUGGGACUGUUACAGCAUCCCUGCCCCUCCCCCUGGAAAUCACACAACCCCAGUGUCCACAGUGUCAGGUGUCAUAGGAACUCCAAGUCACACGCUGGGAAGCGCUGCAGUGGGGUGGGGGCCUGGAACCUGUGUGUCCUGCCUCCCAGGUUGGGACUGUGGACCCAGACUGAUCCCCUGCAUGGAAAACCACCAGCCCUGGCUGGAUGCCAGCGCCGCUUGUCUGAGAGGGGCCAGGAAAUGGCUGGGAGGGAUGGUGGACUGGACAAACAUCCCGAGAAUGUAAGCUGCUCCUCUACCCUGGCGCUUGCCUGCCCGCCCGCCCUGCCUGCUCUGGAGGGACCUUCACUCUGGGGUCCUGCCCCUGCCUGGACAGGGCCAGACACAGAGGCCCGGGAGACGGCUGCUUGGACACACCUGACACGUGUCACGUUAACCACAGCAAAGGGGGCCACCCUCCUGGGCCUCAGGUCCCCGUCCUGCAGAGGGGUGGCUGGUUUGGCACUCAUACCCUUGGGUGGUGACUCACGGGGGGCCCAGGGAGGACCCUGACCCUCACUCUGGCUGUGGGGCUGGUUUUGGGAGCCAGGCAUCCAGGGAGAAUGGAGAAUGGGCAAGUCACACGGUGGACAUCUGGCAGGAGCCAGACAGCAGGCUCAGGGCUGGGAUGCGAGCAUGCAAGCGGUUCCACGGGGGGCAAAGGUGGGCAGUGCUUCUCUAGGCCAAGGGAUGCCAGACUGCCAGCACCCCAAGAAGCAGGGGAGCACAGAAGACACCCCACCUCAGUAGGAGUUGCCCUGCCCACACCCUGACCUCGGACAUUCAGCCUCUAGCCCUGCAGGGGGGUAAGUCCCUGUUCCUUAAGUCCCUGGGUUCCUGGUGCUCUUCUGGGCUGCCCCAGACAGCUCAGCAGGUACCAUUUUCAGAGCUGGUGAGGAUCAUGCAGCAGGAGAGAAUGAGAUUCCAAUAUUACAAAUGAAGAAUCUCAAACAGAGAGAAGCAGGACUUCCUUGGCAGUCCAGUGGUUACAACUCAGUCUUCCAAUGCAUGGGGCAAAGGUUCCAUCCCUGGCUGGGGAGCUAAGAUCCCAUAUGACUUGGGGUUGAAAAACCGAAAUAAAACAAAAAACACAAGCAAUAUUAUAACUAGUUCAUUAAAGACUUAAAAAAUAGUCCACAUCAAAAAAAAAACCCAAAAAACAGAAAAGUUCCUAACAUUUUCAUCACCUCGGAGCUGGGAGAACUUCUCUUGGAUUCCCCCACCUGAUUCCCAGUCCACCCACCAGUCUGCUGAUGGCCUUUAUUCUGCCUUUCUUUCAAACUCAGUUUGGCUGCCACCUCCUCCAGGAAGCCUUCCUGGCUUGGUGUUGCCGUGGUCAUACUGCCUGAGUGCCACUGCCUCUCCAGCCACUCCACUAGGCUACAUCAGGGCUUUAAGCAAUCUUUGAACCCCUGGUGUCCUGAGCAGACACUCGAUAAGUGUUUUACAAACUAUGAAGCAAGGAGUGGGAGGGAUGUGUGUGAGGAGAUGGGUAACACAUGCCACAGCUGAUGUCACCCCCUCCCCUGAUCCCAUCUUCAGCCUCGGCCCUCAGCCCGUGACCUCUGCCCCUGUCUGCACGGGAGAGCUCUCAUUGGCUCAGACGCCCCUCCCCAGUUCUUCGGGGUCCAUUUCUCAUCCCAUCUUUAGCCCCAAAUUAGGACAUGAGGAAGAUUCAACUUGUAAUGUGUAGACUAGUCUCCGUGGUCCCCCACGUCAGAAGUGCAAUCUUGAACAAUCCCAGCCUCACAAGUCGUGAAUCUAUGGUGCAGCCUCUAUCUGUUCCCAACACGGUUCGUCUUAAGGACAGAGAAUCCCCCCCUUAAUGAGACUAGAGAGAAAACAACCAAAAAAAAGGACAAUCUAGGUCACAGAAGGGUAGGGAGGGGGCGGCCUGGAUACCAGGUGCCAAUCUUCUCACUUGCAAAUUGCCCAGGAGGGCUCCCCGGAGAGGUCAGCGGAGUUCCCAGACCACAGGAGGGUGAGAACUGGCCUCUGCUCCUCCCUGGAGAUCCUUGAGACACACCCUGCAUCCCCGCGUGCCUGGUGAGGUCCCCUCACUGACUCCUCAUUCAACAGAUGUUGGCUCAGAGGGAUGAAGCUCUGCUCAUGGCCAGCACAGCUCUGCAGGGUGAAAUCCUAAGGGUUUUCACAUGCUCUUGUGUCGCUGUUCAACACGUGCUAGGGCAACAGUGAAUGCUUAGGGGGAUGGGAAGGUGUGGGAACAGUUUGUGGAGGGCCCGGCAUGUGGCUAGUGCCCUGCUGGGCGCCUGAUGUUCCCAUAACUCUCCUUAACGUGGGAUGCGGCAUCUUCCUA
Molecule: long non-coding RNA, 3396 nt
Filed under: Bos grunniens (domestic yak)
Lineage: Eukaryota; Metazoa; Chordata; Mammalia; Artiodactyla; Bovidae
Description: lncRNA (ENSBGRG00000001239.1)
Source: RNAcentral